CCUACGGGGGGCUGCAGUGGGGAAUAUUGCACAAUGGGCGCAAGCCUGAUGCAGCCAUGCCGCGUGUGUGAAGAAGGCCUUCGGGUUGUAAAGCACUUUCAGCGGGGAGGAAGGCGUUAAGGUUAAUAACCUUGGCGAUUGACGUUACCCGCAGAAGAAGCACCGGCUAACUCCGUGCCAGCAGCCGCGGUAAUACGGAGGGUGCAAGCGUUAAUCGGAACUACUGGGCGUAAAGCGCACGCAGGCGGUCUGUCAAGUCGGAUGUGAAAUCCCCGGGCUCAACCUGGGAACUGCAUUCGAAACUGGCAGGCUAGAGUCUUGUAGAGGGGGGUAGAAUUCCAGGUGUAGCGGUGAAAUGCGUAGAGAUCUGGAGGAAUACCGGUGGCGAAGGCGGCCCCCUGGACAAAGACUGACGCUCAGGUGCGAAAGCGUGGGGAGCAAACAGGAUUAGAUACCCUAGUAGUC
This 465-nucleotide ribosomal RNA is filed under the name uncultured Klebsiella sp. Its description in RNAcentral is "bacterial SSU rRNA". It matches the Rfam family "Bacterial small subunit ribosomal RNA", at positions 338 to 795 of the family's 1533-position model. Lineage: Bacteria; Pseudomonadati; Pseudomonadota; Gammaproteobacteria; Enterobacterales; Enterobacteriaceae. The record is from RNAcentral.